UACGGAGGGGGCGAGCGUUAUUCGGAAUCACUGGGCGUAAAGGGUGCGUAGGCGGGUCCUUAAGUCAGGGGUGAAAUCCUGGAGCUCAACUCCAGAACUGCCUUUGAUACUGAAGAUCUUGAGUUCGGGAGAGGUGAGUGGAACUGCGAGUGUAGAGGUGAAAUUCGUAGAUAUUCGCAAGAACACCAGUGGCGAAGGCGGCUCACUGGCCCGAUACUGACGCUGAGGCACGAAAGCGUGGGGAGCAAACAGGG
RNAcentral lists this ribosomal RNA (254 nucleotides) under uncultured bacterium. RNAcentral's name for it is "partial 16S ribosomal RNA". It matches the Rfam family "Bacterial small subunit ribosomal RNA", at positions 524 to 777 of the family's 1533-position model. The record is from RNAcentral.